RNAcentral lists this transfer RNA (68 nucleotides) under Cryptocelis alba. Its description in RNAcentral is "tRNA-Glu". The record is from RNAcentral. Lineage: Eukaryota; Metazoa; Platyhelminthes; Polycladida; Cryptocelidae.
CUAGUAUAAGUGUAAUUUAGCACAUUAAGUUUUCUCCUUAAAAGGGUUCUAAUUAAGAACAUAUUAGA